GACGAACGCUGGCGGCGUGCUUAACACAUGCAAGUCGAACGGUGAAGCGCCUUCCUUUUUGGUGGGUGUGGAUGAGUGGCGAACGGGUGAGUAACACGUGAGUAACCUGCCCCCUUCUUCUGGAUAACCGCAUGAAAGUGUGGCUAAUACGGGAUAUUCUGGGUCUGUCGCAUGAUGGGUCUGGGAAAGAUAUUGUUUCGGUGGGGGAUGGGCUCGCGGCCUAUCAGCUUGUUGGUGGGGUGAUGGGGUACCAAGGCGGUGUAGGGUAGACGGCCUGAGAGGGACGGCGGCCAAGCUGAGACUGAGACAGGACGCAGCAGUGGAGAAGAGGGCGCAGUGGGGAAAAGUGUAAUGCGGCGACGCGGCGGAGGCGAUAACGGCGUUCGGGUUGUGAAGCUCUUUGGGUAGUGAAGCGGUUUUGCCUCGUAUGUGGGUGGAUUGACGGUAGCUGGUAAAGAAGCGCCGGCUAACUACGUG
RNAcentral lists this ribosomal RNA (477 nucleotides) under uncultured bacterium. Its description in RNAcentral is "partial 16S ribosomal RNA". It matches the Rfam family "Bacterial small subunit ribosomal RNA", at positions 28 to 507 of the family's 1533-position model. The record is from RNAcentral.